AGAGUUUGAUCAUGGCUCAGGACGAACGCUGGCGGCGUGCUUAACACAUGCAAGUCGAACGGAAAGGCCCUUCGGGGUACUCGAGUGGCGAACGGGUGGGUAACACGUGGGUGAUCUGCCCUGCACUUUGGGAUAAGCCUGGGAAACUGGGUCUAAUACCGAAUAGGACCGCGCGCUUCAUGGUGUGUGGUGGAAAGCUUUUGCGGUGUGGGAUGGGCCCGCGGCCUAUCAGCUUGUUGGUGGGGUAAUGGCCUACCAAGGCGACGACGGGUAGCCGGCCUGAGAGGGUGACCGGCCACACUGGGACUGAGAUACGGCCCAGACUCCUACGGGAGGCAGCAGUGGGGAAUAUUGCACAAUGGGCGCAAGCCUGAUGCAGCGACGCCGCGUGAGGGAUGACGGCCUUCGGGUUGUAAACCUCUUUCAGUAUCGGCGAAGCUCCAGGAUUUUUCUUGGGGUGACGGUAGGUACAGAAGAAGCACCGGCCAACUACGUGCCAGCAGCCGCGGUAAUACGUAGGGUGCGAGCGUUGUCCGGAAUUACUGGGCGUAAAGAGCUCGUAGGUGGUUUGUCGCGUUGUUCGUGAAAACUCACAGCUUAACUGUGGGCGUGCGGGCGAUACGGGCAGACUAGAGUACUGCAGGGGAGACUGGAAUUCCUGGUGUAGCGGUGGAAUGCGCAGAUAUCAGGAGGAACACCGGUGGCGAAGGCGGGUCUCUGGGCAGUAACUGACGCUGAGGAGCGAAAGCGUGGGGAGCGAACAGGAUUAGAUACCCUGGUAGUCCAA
This 787-nucleotide ribosomal RNA is filed under the name uncultured bacterium. RNAcentral's name for it is "bacterial SSU rRNA". It matches the Rfam family "Bacterial small subunit ribosomal RNA", at positions 8 to 798 of the family's 1533-position model. The record is from RNAcentral.